This 312-nucleotide transfer-messenger RNA is filed under the name marine eukaryotic metagenome. Its description in RNAcentral is "Alphaproteobacteria transfer-messenger RNA". It matches the Rfam family "Alphaproteobacteria transfer-messenger RNA". Rfam says of the family: Bacterial tmRNA, also known as 10Sa RNA or SsrA, is named for its dual tRNA and mRNA-like properties. Its role is to liberate the mRNA from a stalled ribosome. The record is from RNAcentral.
CCUGGAUAGGACUAUAUUUGUAGUGCCGGUUUACCGGCUAUGGCGAUAAACGCCCUGUGGAAUAAGCGUAACGGACCCGGGGGCAGUGCCCGGCGCCUCCACCAACCCUAAGUUUCGCGCCAUUUCGGCGCAAAUUCAUGGGGGCGAAACAGGAUCGACGUGCGUGGUAAAGACUUGGUUUUCGCCCGGCAUUGUACCACCGUUAUCGGGCUACCUUUACAAAUGCCAACGACAAUGAGGCAUUUGCUGUUGCCGCCUAACGGCUAAGCAACAACGGGGUUCGGAGGGCACCUGGCAACAGAAGCCCUCCAC